UGCAUUGGUGUAUGUAAAUCACAAAGUCUGGGCUGUUUUGGGGCGGUGAUUUACUACCACAUUUCCUCAGCUGGUGAACAUUCCAAGUCAUGGAUUCCUCCUGAAGGAAGUGACUUGCAAGACCCACUGGAGCUCUGCUUCACUAAUUAGCUCUUUGCCUGAAUAGGGGACCCCAAGGUCAGAAAAGAAACAAAGUAGGAGCGGCUGGAAUAGAGUGAGAAGUCAAGAAAUGCGACUCAAUUUCAUUACCAUGAGGGUUCCUUGAUAAGCAGGCAACUAAAAUGAUUUACUCACUCAACACUCUUUCAAAAUGGAGCUUGCAGGGUUGUAGAAUAGCAGGGGGGCACAGAGAAGUAAUGAGGAAUUCAAGCAACAUGUGUUAUUUAUAAUGAAAAAUAAAGAAUGGCCAGAACGUUCGGACCACUGUCUGGUUUUCAUGGAGAAGGCUACAUCAAUACCUUGUUGCUUAAAUCCUACAAACAACCUAUUGACGAAAAAAAUACACAAGCUCAAUAGCCCUGUCUGAGUCUGACAAUGUGAUAUAGUUAGUUUAGAUUUUAAACAAACACUCACAUUUUGAUCUGACUUUGGUGAAUCUUUUCAGUCUGAUAAACAAUCACGUGGCGCAUCUUGAGAAACUGUUACUUUGUUACAGCGAUGUAAUUACUCUGCAGGGGACCUUGUAAAGCACGGUGCGCCAAGAUCUACCGAUUUGGAUGACUUAGUUAGAGAUUUCUCUUACUCAAUCCAACACGAUGUGGACCACCAGCACGCUACGGAUAGGAAAGCAACAAUUGCAUAACACUUGGUUUAUGUCAUAAUAAUUUAAAUACGUAAUUCAAGGAUUAAUUGCACUGCAGACCAGUGAUGCACUUCCGAUGGUGCAUCUGUCCAGCCGGCACCACAAGGUCAAUGCUUUGAUGAGAAUAUCCUCCCCAGCGGUAUCCAUAGGAACACCGUAAAAAAGUCUUUACAGUCAAGACUUUUAUGGUGAGUUUGAAAUAAAUGGACAGUUAUAUGUAAAUACUUCCCGGGAUUGAUUGUGAAAUGUUAGCUUACGAAAUGUCAUAUAUAGAAUAACAGCAAUGAAAAAUAAUAAAAAGUGUUAGUGCUGUUAAAACUUAGUAGGAAGCCAAUUUGUAAUGAGAUUGGAGUCUUAAUGCAUUUAAAUUCCAUUCACUUUACUACAAGAACAGGACCACAAAAUGUAUUAAACAAAAGAAUGAGAGAAUUGCCAUUGCUUACUCAGAAGUACAAACAAUUAUUGAUUCAGAAGUGGCUUUCUUGGUCAAGUAUUGCUAAAGAACAGCUGUUAUUGUGCAAGGGAAUUUCCAUCAAUGGAAAUGUAGAUGUUAUGAAUCAGAAGUCCAGACCAAUGAUGAAUACCGAGGAGCUCCAGAGAGCAUCUAUAGACUGCGCAGGAACGCACUCGUUUUAUUUGUUGGUUUGGAAGUAAAAUCAGCGCUGGGGGCAAUUGUAACAAGGAUCGAAUUCUUACGAAGUUAAACAUAAUGAAUAAUAGAGGCACACGGCAUUCUGUGGAAUCAUGACUACAUUUCAGAACAAUGCCUUGAUCUAACACAAGCGCCUAUACCUCGUGUUCAGUAUACCUCAAUGCAUUUCAGUAUUGAAACAAGGAGAGGAUUUAGAAUAGUGUAAGAAAAUGAUUCUGAAAUCCUUCUUUCCUCACUCCCCCAUCAAACAAAUGGCUAAAGAACCACGGUACUUAUUAAUUAUAUACUCUUGGCCCAACAAUCUCUGAUCAAGGUCAAGAUUGAAAAUUAAAUACACAUUUUUUUUAAAGUGGUAAAUGUUAUCAUCUGUAGGUAAUUUUAAGAACAGUUUUGCCUUUGCAUUGUCUUCCCUUCCUGUAGAUAUUAAAUUCAGAACCAUCAGGUUUAAAAUGAAGGUUUUGUAGAAUCCUAACAUACAUUACUUUUGAAAGCUCUCAAACAUAAUUCUAAAUAUUGGCAGAUUGUUUUGGUUAAUAUACCAGUGUUAAUUUGAGGUAAGCAGCUUGGAUACAAUGUAGAAAACAACACAUCAAUAACACAUUGGUUGAAAAUGUAAAAAAAAUUGCAGAUGUUGGAAAUUUUAACUAAAAUCAGAAAAUGCUGUA
Molecule: long non-coding RNA, 2119 nt
Organism: Amblyraja radiata (thorny skate)
Lineage: Eukaryota; Metazoa; Chordata; Chondrichthyes; Rajiformes; Rajidae
Exons: 3
Source: RefSeq, a predicted model, not a curated record